UAUAUUGACUGUGCUAAGGUAGCAUAAUAAUUUGCCUUUUAAUUAAAGGCUAGCAUGAAUGAUUUGACGAAAGAAGAGCUGUCUCCGCUUAUUUUUAAUAAAUUAACCUAGAAGUUAAAAGGCUUCUAUUCUCUAGAGGGACGACAAGACCCUAUAAAGCUUUAUUUAUCAUAUUUCUAUUUAUUUCAAAAAAAAAUAUAAAUUUAUAAAUUUUAUUGGGGCGAUAGAUAAAAAAACAUUAUUAACCAUAACGUUUUUAACGAAACUUAUAAAAUAUUCUUAAACUAAACAAGUUACUUUAGGGAUAACAGC
Molecule: ribosomal RNA, 312 nt
Filed under: Tylos sp. clade F MM-2013
Lineage: Eukaryota; Metazoa; Arthropoda; Malacostraca; Isopoda; Tylidae
Description: partial 16S large subunit ribosomal RNA
Rfam family: Archaeal large subunit ribosomal RNA
Source: RNAcentral